GCUUUGCCAGUUUACAUGAACCUCCUAUUGAUUUGGGUUUGUACUGCUAUCUGCAAUAAUAUAUACGAAGACUACCAUGGUUCAGAGUUGUUACCAAGAAAGUUUCUAAUAUAUGACGGCCUGCUCCAACCAUCCUCCAUCAGAAUUAGGUUAAGGCGUAUCAUCAAUUUCUCUGCGGCAUCUUCCUCCAAAACGGUUAACGAAUCAGACGGUCGCCUCCGUAGUGGACAACCCUGAAAAAUCCAAAUGAAGGUACUUAAAAUAGAUUUGCUAUCAAAGUCAUACGUCGAUAUACAUGUAGAAAUGAGAAAACGUACCUUUUUGUCCUGAUACAACUUUAGAUAUUCAAGUGAUUCCUCAUAAAAUCCACAAUGGUAGAGAAGAAUGCUGUAAUCUCUUUAAUUCCUUCGAAAAAAAAAUGAGCUGGCCAAUAAUUCAGUGGAGUACACACGUUAAAGCAUAAAGAGAGAAUUGGUGGUUGAGCUUUGUGUUGUGGGUGGAAAAAGUUUAGGUUAAAAAUUUGUCGGUGUGAUGAGUGAUGGUUGCUUUCUUUCUACUUUCCUAAAGCAACAUCGGUGCAAUGGACUAUUGUCAUGUGUUCAGGGAUGAGUGCUUUCUUUCUACUUUGCUAAAGAAACAUCGGUGCGAUGGACCAUUGUCAUGCGUUCCACUAAUAUUUGUAUGUCCUGUGUCACUGUUUAUAGGUUCCACUAAUAUUUGUCUGUCCUGUCACUCUUUAUAACUUACAAGAGAGUUCCUAUCGUUCUAGAGUGGGCGCAUGAUGCUGCUGAACUAAAAACUGAAAUCGAAAUGGUUACGAAACGAACCCUAAGUUUCUCUCCUUAUUGAGUAAAUUUUAGUUAGGUGAAUCAUGCAUGUAGAUUUACACAUUAUGUAGAUAUAUGAUUCCACAUAAUUUUAUUAUUACUCAAUCACAAAUGAGGUAACAAUUUGUUAUAUACAUCAAUUUACAUGAGAGUAUCACAAGCAGAUAAUAGACCCCUUACUAGCUCCGCUGUCGUACAUUUUGCCGGUUCAUUCUUCCAAUAUUCCGGCAUUCAAAUUUACUGAUGAUCUGGUCACUCAAUACAAUUACUACAUAAAAAACUGGCACCAAUAGGAAUAUGCAGAAUGUGGCAGGACUCAUAUCUCCGGUUUUGUUCAUCUUGUUAUAUACGGAUAGAAAACACCGCAUGUCUAGCAAAACUUUUCCAGGAAGAAGUUCACUUAAAGUGCCGCUUUGCCAGUUUACAUGAACCUCCUAUUGAUUUGGGUUUGUACUGCUAUCUGCAAUAAUAUAUACGAAGACUACCAUGGUUCAGAGUUGUUACCAAGAAAGUUUCUAAUAUAUGACGGCCUGCUCCAACCAUCCUCCAUCAGAAUUAGGUUAAGGCGUAUCAUCAAUUUCUCUGCGGCAUCUUCCUCCAAAACGGUUAACGAAUCAGACGGUCGCCUCCGUAGUGGAC
This 1466-nucleotide long non-coding RNA is filed under the name Malus domestica (apple). RNAcentral describes it as "long non-coding RNA (MDOM_LNC002202)". Lineage: Eukaryota; Viridiplantae; Streptophyta; Magnoliopsida; Rosales; Rosaceae. The record is from RNAcentral.